UUAUUUAAAUGAACCUGAUCCAAAGUCCCCAAUUUUCACUGUUCCUCUGUCGCCUAUGAAAAUAUUAUUCGGCUUCAAGUCUCGAUGAAUAAUAUCUUUGCCGUGUAUGAACUAUAAAGCCUCCAAAAUCUGCCAACAUUAAAGUUAAGAAUCCACCAAUGGUAUGUCUGUCAAAUAUUAAUCUUUCUGUCUUUACUCUAUAUUAUGGUACUCUACCUAAUAUCUUCAUUGAAAAUUCUUAUUACUCAUAGGGAAGAAAAUCUAUGGGUCUAUCUGGCUCAAUGGAGCUGACUGAACAACAGAGGAUUCUGGGGGAGCUUGUGAAAGAAAGUAGUGAAUGCAAGCUGCUAUAUGUCACCGCUGGCACAAUUACCAAAAGAAAGCUACUUCUGAAACACUUGGAAACUCUAUAUGAUCGUGGAUUGCUUGCUAGAAUUGUCAUUGAAUAGCUGAAUUUGUAUGCGAAAGAUAUAAGAUGCCAGAUUAUCAGGGUCUUGGUAUCUUGAAAAAGAAGUUUCCAAGGGUACCUCUUGUGGCCUUGGCUACUAUCGUGCCAGACAGUGUCAGAGAUGAGGCAGUCGACAUUUUGGGUCUUGUGAACUGCAUUCAUUUUAACCGGAGGCUUAUACACUUGAGGUAAUUGAUAAGGUUUUGGCGGCUAUACUGAACGUGGUGAGGAAGACAUUCGGAUUUGGUAAAUUCCUAUAAUGGUGGGGCACAUAUUUUACCCAAGAUAUGAUCGGGACUAUAUUGAAAUUGAGAAAUUAGUUAAAUGCAGGACAGGGUAGCUUUGGAAGCGUGUUUGAAUGCAAGGUCAAACUUGAUAACAGGCCUUGUGCUAUUAAGAAGAUACGUUCUGCCAAAUCAGAAGAAGAAGAUCAAAGUCUAAUUAAUGAAGUCAGAAUGCUCAGUCUCGCACAACAUCCAAAUGUUGUGGGCUAUCAUCAGGCAUGGAUUGAAGAUUACAGAGAACAAAAUCAUUUCGAAGCUCACUACUCUGGUUCCUCUUCAUAUGGCCCGAGGGAGAAGAUGAUGUAUAUUCAUAUGGAACUUUGUAAGGGGUCAUUGGAGUCUAAAUUAAAGAAGGAGAAGAAGCUACCUAGGCAUAAGGCAUGGAGUUACUUUCGGCAGAUUUUGGAGGCUUUACAGUUCAUACACGGCAAAGAUAUUAUUCAUCGAGACUUGAAGCCGAAUAAUAUUUUCAUAGGCGACAGAGGAACAGUGAAAAUUGGGGACUUUGGAUUAGAUUCAUUUAAAUAAAAUUUGGUGCUUUACAAAAUUGUACCUGGGCAAUGAGUUGGUUGACUAACCAAUUUUUCCUAUUUACAACUCUGCAUAAGGAUGUCAGUUCGACCACAAAGUUGGCACCAGUUGGUGCGGAUCUCUACCGUGCACCUGAAAUGGAAAAGGGGGUGUGCAUCACCAACAAAGUGGACAUGUAUGCCUUGGGGUUGAUUCUAUUCCAGCUGUUUGGUCCCCAGGGAGAUACUGCGAUCCAAAGGUUGAAAGAUUCGGCAUCGCCCAGGCAAGUUUGCGAAAUUUGCGAAAAGUAUAAGAUGGAUGAAACUGCCAAGCCCCUGAUCUUGAAGCUACUUCGGAUAGAUCCAUUGAAACGGCCUUCUGCUGCUGAUCUUCUACAGGAUUUAGAUACAUUGGAGGGGAAAAAACAAGAAGCACAACUACAGAAACUUUCAUAGCAUUUGGAAACUGACAUUUAGCAACUGCGAUGGGCCAUGCAGUUGGUUGUGCCUAAAACCCUAGAACAUGGAUGCUGUUUAUAACUGUUUGAGUAGAUCGUGGAGUACUGUGUCUCGAACGAGCGUUUGACACUUGCAAUGUUGUGCACAUGGUGCUAUGUCUCCUAGACUCCUUUUUGAUAUUGUAUAAUGAAUUUGUUUCUGCAACAAUGCUAUUUUGAAGUGUGCCAAAGGCAUUAGGACAUUUCUGUUAACAUUCUGGUGUUUGGGCCAUUUCUGUUACUGAAAAGAGUUUCAGCAACUUCCUCCUAAUCCUUGUCUGUGUGAAAAAUACUGAGAAAUUCUUUCCAUGUCUUGUGUUAUCAACUGGGCAUUCAAGAAGUUAAAGUCUGCUUUCAUUGGUCA
This is a non-coding RNA of Coffea arabica (coffee), 2102 nucleotides long. Lineage: Eukaryota; Viridiplantae; Streptophyta; Magnoliopsida; Gentianales; Rubiaceae. The record is from RefSeq and is a predicted model, not a curated record.